RNAcentral lists this unclassified non-coding RNA (161 nucleotides) under soil metagenome. RNAcentral describes it as "partial internal transcribed spacer 1". The record is from RNAcentral.
AAGAGACGUUGCCCUUCGGGGUAUACCUCCCACCCUUUGUUUAUUAUACCUUUGUUGCCUUGGCGGGCCCGUCCUCGGACCACCGGCUUCUGCUGGUCAGUGCCCGCCAGAGGACCUAAAACUCUGUUUGUUAAUAUUGUCUGAGUACUAUAUAAUAGUUA